Molecule: ribosomal RNA, 709 nt
Filed under: uncultured marine alveolate
Lineage: Eukaryota
Description: SSU rRNA
Rfam family: Eukaryotic small subunit ribosomal RNA
Source: RNAcentral
GUUAAAAAGCUCGUAGUUGGAUUUCUGCAUGGAAGGAGCGGUCCACCCAUUGGGCGCGUACGGCUACCUUUGAUGCAUCUUUCUGAGGACGUGUUCUUCACUUAAUUGUGAGGGCGCAGAACUCAGGACAUUUACUUUGAGGAAAUGAGAGUGUUUCAAGCAGGCAAAUGCCUUGAAUACGUUAGCAUGGAAUAAUAGCAUCGGACCAUCGUCCAGCUGUUGGUGUCUGGGCGAAGGUAAAGGUGAAUAGGGAUUGUUGGGGGCAUUCGUAUUUAACUGUCAGAGGUGAAAUUCUUGGAUUUGUUGAAGACGGACCACUGCGAAAGCAUCUGCCAAAGAUGUUCUCAUUGAUCAAGAACGAAAGUUAGGUGAUCGAAGACGAUCAGAUACCGUCCUAGUCUUAACCAUAAACUAUGCCGACUGGAGAUAGGAAGCGUUUAUCUUACGACUCUUUCUGCAUCUUGAGAGAAAUCAAAGUCUUUGGGUUCCGGGGGGAGUAUGGUCGCAAGGCUGAAACUUAAAGGAAUUGACGGAAGGGCACCACCAGGAGUGGAGCCUGCGGCUUAAUUUGACUCAACACGGGGAAACUUACCAGGUCCGGACAUAGGUAGGAUUGACAGACUGAGAGCUCUUUCUUGAUUCUAUGGGUGGUGGUGCAUGGCCGUUCUUAGUUGGUGGAGUGAUUUGUCUGGUUAAUUCCGUUAACGAA